UUAAGCGACUAAGCGUACACGGUGGAUGCCCUGGCAGUCAGAGGCGAUGAAGGGCGUGCUAAUCUGCGAUAAGCGCCGGUAAGGUGAUAUGAACCGUUAUAACCGGCGAUACCCGAAUGGGGAAACCCAGUGUGACUCGUCACACUAUCAUUAACUGAAUCCAUAGGUUAAUGAGGCGAACCGGGGGAACUGAAACAUCUAAGUACCCCGAGGAAAAGAAAUCAACCGAGAUUCCCCCAGUAGCGGCGAGCGAACGGGGAGGAGCCCAGAGCCUGAAUCAGCAUGUGUGUUAGUGGAAGCGUCUGGAAAGGCGCGCGAUACAGGGUGACAGCCCCGUACACAAAAGCGCAUGUGCUGUGAGCUCGAUGAGUAGGGCGGGACACGUGGUAUCCUGUCUGAAUAUGGGGGGACCAUCCUCCAAGGCUAAAUACUCCUGACUGACCGAUAGUGAACCAGUACCGUGAGGGAAAGGCGAAAAGAACCCCGGCGAGGGGAGUGAAAAAGAACCUGAAACCGUGUACGUACAAGCAGUGGGAGCCCCACCACUAAGCCAGUGGUGAACUCCACAUACGCAUCCUUUGCUGAGGAUACGGUUAACGGAGCGAAAGCGACGUUCAACCUCAAAAGAAGCAGAGGGGGCUUAGUGGUGGGGUGACUGCGUACCUUUUGUAUAAUGGGUCAGCGACUUAUAUUCUGUAGCAAGGUUAACCGCAUAGGGGAGCCGGAGGGAAACCGAGUCUUAAUUGGGCGUUAAGUUGCAGGGUAUAGACCCGAAACCCGGUGAUCUAGCCAUGGGCAGGUUGAAGGUUGGGUAACACUAACUGGAGGACCGAACCGACUAAUGUUGAAAAAUUAGCGGAUGACCUGUGGCUGGGGGUGAAAGGCCAAUCAAACCGGGAGAUAGCUGGUUCUCCCCGAAAGCUAUUUAGGUAGCGCCUCGUGAAUUCAUCUCCGGGGGUAGAGCACUGUUUCGGCUAGGGGGCCAUCCCGGCUUACCAACCCGAUGCAAACUGCGAAUACCGGAGAAUGUUAUCACGGGAGACACACGGCGGGUGCUAACGUCCGUCGUGAAGAGGGAAACAACCCAGACCGCCAGCUAAGGUCCCAAAGUCAUGGUUAAGUGGGAAACGAUGUGGGAAGGCCCAGACAGCCAGGAUGUUGGCUUAGAAGCAGCCAUCAUUUAAAGAAAGCGUAAUAGCUCACUGGUCGAGUCGGCCUGCGCGGAAGAUGUAACGGGGCUAAACCAUGCACCGAAGCUGCGGCAGCGACGCUGAUGCGUUGUUGGGUAGGGGAGCGUUCUGUAAGCCUGUGAAGGUGUGCUGUGAGGCAUGCUGGAGGUAUCAGAAGUGCGAAUGCUGACAUAAGUAACGAUAAAGCGGGUGAAAAGCCCGCUCGCCGGAAGACCAAGGGUUCCUGUCCAACGUUAAUCGGGGCAGGGUGAGUCGACCCCUAAGGCGAGGCCGAAAGGCGUAGUCGAUGGGAAACAGGUUAAUAUUCCUGUACUUGGUGUUACUGCGAAGGGGGGACGGAGAAGGCUAUGUUGGCCGGGCGACGGUUGUCCCGGUUUAAGCGUGUAGGCUGGUUUUCCAGGCAAAUCCGGAAAAUCAAGGCUGAGGCGUGAUGACGAGGCACUACGGUGCUGAAGCAACAAAUGCCCUGCUUCCAGGAAAAGCCUCUAAGCAUCAGGUAACAUCAAAUCGUACCCCAAACCGACACAGGUGGUCAGGUAGAGAAUACCAAGGCGCUUGAGAGAACUCGGGUGAAGGAACUAGGCAAAAUGGUGCCGUAACUUCGGGAGAAGGCACGCUGACACGUAGGUGAAGUGAUUUACUCAUGGAGCUGAAGUCAGUCGAAGAUACCAGCUGGCUGCAACUGUUUAUUAAAAACACAGCACUGUGCAAACACGAAAGUGGACGUAUACGGUGUGACGCCUGCCCGGUGCCGGAAGGUUAAUUGAUGGGGUCAGCGCAAGCGAAGCUCCUGAUCGAAGCCCCGGUAAACGGCGGCCGUAACUAUAACGGUCCUAAGGUAGCGAAAUUCCUUGUCGGGUAAGUUCCGACCUGCACGAAUGGCGUAAUGAUGGCCAGGCUGUCUCCACCCGAGACUCAGUGAAAUUGAACUCGCUGUGAAGAUGCAGUGUACCCGCGGCAAGACGGAAAGACCCCGUGAACCUUUACUAUAGCUUGACACUGAACAUUGAGCCUUGAUGUGUAGGAUAGGUGGGAGGCUUUGAAGUGUGGACGCCAGUCUGCAUGGAGCCGACCUUGAAAUACCACCCUUUAAUGUUUGAUGUUCUAACGUGGACCCGUAAUCCGGGUUGCGGACAGUGUCUGGUGGGUAGUUUGACUGGGGCGGUCUCCUCCUAAAGAGUAACGGAGGAGCACGAAGGUUGGCUAAUCCUGGUCGGACAUCAGGAGGUUAGUGCAAUGGCAUAAGCCAGCUUGACUGCGAGCGUGACGGCGCGAGCAGGUGCGAAAGCAGGUCAUAGUGAUCCGGUGGUUCUGAAUGGAAGGGCCAUCGCUCAACGGAUAAAAGGUACUCCGGGGAUAACAGGCUGAUACCGCCCAAGAGUUCAUAUCGACGGCGGUGUUUGGCACCUCGAUGUCGGCUCAUCACAUCCUGGGGCUGAAGUAGGUCCCAAGGGUAUGGCUGUUCGCCAUUUAAAGUGGUACGCGAGCUGGGUUUAGAACGUCGUGAGACAGUUCGGUCCCUAUCUGCCGUGGGCGCUGGAGAACUGAGGGGGGCUGCUCCUAGUACGAGAGGACCGGAGUGGACGCAUCACUGGUGUUCGGGUUGUCAUGCCAAUGGCACUGCCCGGUAGCUAAAUGCGGAAGAGAUAAGUGCUGAAAGCAUCUAAGCACGAAACUUGCCCCGAGAUGAGUUCUCCCUGAGACUUAGAGUCUCCUGAAGGAACGUUGAAGACGACGACGUUGAUAGGCCGGGUGUGUAAGCGCAGCGAUGCGUUGAGCUAACCGGUACUAAUGAACCGUGAGGCUUAACCUU
Molecule: ribosomal RNA, 3003 nt
Filed under: Salmonella enterica subsp. enterica serovar Typhimurium
Lineage: Bacteria; Pseudomonadati; Pseudomonadota; Gammaproteobacteria; Enterobacterales; Enterobacteriaceae
Also listed under: 1 other name
Description: bacterial LSU rRNA
Rfam family: Bacterial large subunit ribosomal RNA
Source: RNAcentral